RNAcentral lists this ribosomal RNA (365 nucleotides) under uncultured bacterium. RNAcentral's name for it is "bacterial SSU rRNA". It matches the Rfam family "Bacterial small subunit ribosomal RNA", at positions 525 to 896 of the family's 1533-position model. The record is from RNAcentral.
ACGAGGGAUGCAAGCGUUAUCCGGAAUUAUUGGGCGUAAAGAGUUUGUAGGCGGACAGGUAUGUUUAAUGUUAAAUGUUAAAGCUUAACUUUGAAACUGCAUUAAAAACUGCUUGUCUAGAGUAUGGUAGGGGUAAAGGGAAUUCCCAGUGUAGCGGUGAAAUGCGUAGAUAUUGGGAAGAACACUAAACAGCGAAGGCACUUUGCUAGGCUAAUACUGACGCUGAGAAACGAAAGGUAAGGUAGCGAAACGGAUUAGAUACCCGUGUAGUCUUACCCGUAAACUAUGGACACUAAAUGGUACUUAAUGUGCUGUUGUAGCUAACGCGUUAAGUGUCCCGCCUGGGGAGUAUGCUUGCAAAAGUG